This 2935-nucleotide ribosomal RNA is filed under the name Serratia marcescens. Its description in RNAcentral is "bacterial LSU rRNA". It matches the Rfam family "Bacterial large subunit ribosomal RNA". The record is from RNAcentral. Lineage: Bacteria; Pseudomonadati; Pseudomonadota; Gammaproteobacteria; Enterobacterales; Yersiniaceae.
GGGUUGUGAGGUUAAGUGACUAAGCGUACACGGUGGAUGCCUAGGCAGUCAGAGGCGAUGAAGGGCGUGCUAAUCUGCGAAAAGCGUCGGUAAGGUGAUAUGAACCGUUACAACCGGCGAUACCCGAAUGGGGAAACCCAGUGUGUUUCGACACACUAUCAUGUCAUGAAUACAUAGUGGCAUGAGGCGAACCGGGGGAACUGAAACAUCUAAGUACCCCGAGGAAAAGAAAUCAACCGAGAUUCCCCCAGUAGCGGCGAGCGAACGGGGAGGAGCCCAGAACCUGAAUCGGCUUGUGUGUUAGUGGAAGCGUCUGGAAAGUCGCGCAGCAAAGGGUGAUAGCCCCGUACACUAAAAUGCACAGGUCGUGAGUUCGAUGAGUAGGGCGGGACACGUGACAUCCUGUCUGAAUAUGGGGGGACCAUCCUCCAAGGCUAAAUACUCCUGACUGACCGAUAGUGAACCAGUACCGUGAGGGAAAGGCGAAAAGAACCCCGGCGAGGGGAGUGAAAUAGAACCUGAAACCGUGUACGUACAAGCAGUGGGAGCACCUUCGUGGUGUGACUGCGUACCUUUUGUAUAAUGGGUCAGCGACUUAUAUUUUGUAGCAAGGUUAACCGUAUAGGGGAGCCGUAGGGAAACCGAGUCUUAACUGGGCGAAUAGUUGCAAGGUAUAGACCCGAAACCCGGUGAUCUAGCCAUGGGCAGGUUGAAGGUUGGGUAACACUAACUGGAGGACCGAACCGACUAAUGUUGAAAAAUUAGCGGAUGACUUGUGGCUGGGGGUGAAAGGCCAAUCAAACCGGGAGAUAGCUGGUUCUCCCCGAAAGCUAUUUAGGUAGCGCCUCGUGAACUCAUCUUCGGGGGUAGAGCACUGUUUCGGCUAGGGGGCCAUCCCGGCUUACCAAACCGAUGCAAACUCCGAAUACCGAAGAAUGUUAUCACGGGAGACACACGGCGGGUGCUAACGUCCGUCGUGAAGAGGGAAACAACCCAGACCGCCAGCUAAGGUCCCAAAGUCAUGGUUAAGUGGGAAACGAUGUGGGAAGGCAUAGACAGCCAGGAUGUUGGCUUAGAAGCAGCCAUCAUUUAAAGAAAGCGUAAUAGCUCACUGGUCGAGUCGGCCUGCGCGGAAGAUGUAACGGGGCUAAACCAUGCACCGAAGCUGCGGCAGCGACGCUUAGGCGUUGUUGGGUAGGGGAGCGUUCUGUAAGCCGUUGAAGGUGGCCUGUGAGGGUUGCUGGAGGUAUCAGAAGUGCGAAUGCUGACAUAAGUAACGAUAAAGCGGGUGAAAAGCCCGCUCGCCGGAAGACCAAGGGUUCCUGUCCAACGUUAAUCGGGGCAGGGUGAGUCGACCCCUAAGGCGAGGCUGAAAAGCGUAGUCGAUGGGAAACAGGUUAAUAUUCCUGUACUUGGUGUUACUGCGAAGGGGGGACGGAGAAGGCUAGGCUAGCCGGGCGACGGUUGUCCCGGUUUAAGCGUGUAGGGGGUGUGACCUGGUAAAUCCGGUUACAUAUCAACCCUGAGGCGUGAUGACGAUGCACUACGGUGCAGAAGUAGUUGAUGCCCUGCUUCCAGGAAAAGCCUCUAAGCUCUAGGUAACAUUGAAUCGUACCCCAAACCGACACAGGUGGUCAGGUAGAGAAUACCAAGGCGCUUGAGAGAACUCGGGUGAAGGAACUAGGCAAAAUGGUGCCGUAACUUCGGGAGAAGGCACGCUGGCAUGUAGGUGAAGUCCUUCGCGGAUGGAGCUGAAGCCAGUCGAAGAUACCAGCUGGCUGCAACUGUUUAAUAAAAACACAGCACUGUGCAAACACGAAAGUGGACGUAUACGGUGUGACGCCUGCCCGGUGCUGGAAGGUUAAUUGAUGGGGUCAGCCGCAAGGCGAAGCUCUUGAUCGAAGCCCCAGUAAACGGCGGCCGUAACUAUAACGGUCCUAAGGUAGCGAAAUUCCUUGUCGGGUAAGUUCCGACCUGCACGAAUGGCGUAAUGAUGGCCAGGCUGUCUCCACCCGAGACUCAGUGAAAUUGAACUCGCUGUGAAGAUGCAGUGUACCCGCGGCAAGACGGAAAGACCCCGUGAACCUUUACUAUAGCUUGACACUGAACAUUGAGCCUUGAUGUGUAGGAUAGGUGGGAGGCUUUGAAGCGUGGACGCCAGUCUGCGUGGAGCCAUCCUUGAAAUACCACCCUUUAAUGUUUGAUGUUCUAACUCGGCCCCAUAAUCUGGGGUGAGGACAGUGUCUGGUGGGUAGUUUGACUGGGGCGGUCUCCUCCCAAAGAGUAACGGAGGAGCACGAAGGUUAGCUAAUCACGGUCGGACAUCGUGAGGUUAGUGCAAAGGCAUAAGCUAGCUUGACUGCGAGAGUGACGGCUCGAGCAGGUACGAAAGUAGGUCUUAGUGAUCCGGUGGUUCUGAAUGGAAGGGCCAUCGCUCAACGGAUAAAAGGUACUCCGGGGAUAACAGGCUGAUACCGCCCAAGAGUUCAUAUCGACGGCGGUGUUUGGCACCUCGAUGUCGGCUCAUCACAUCCUGGGGCUGAAGUAGGUCCCAAGGGUAUGGCUGUUCGCCAUUUAAAGUGGUACGCGAGCUGGGUUUAGAACGUCGUGAGACAGUUCGGUCCCUAUCUGCCGUGGGCGUUGGAAGAUUGAGAGGGGUUGCUCCUAGUACGAGAGGACCGGAGUGAACGCACCACUGGUGUUCGGGUUGUCAUGCCAAUGGCAUUGCCCGGUAGCUAAGUGCGGAAAAGAUAAGCGCUGAAAGCAUCUAAGCGCGAAACUUGCCUCAAGAUGAGUCUUCCCUGGGCCUUUAAGGUCCCUGAAGGAACGUUUAAGACUAAGACGUUGAUAGGCUGGGUGUGUAAGUGCAGCGAUGCAUUGAGCUAACCAGUACUAAUGAUCCGUGAGGCUUAACCUUACAACACCGAAGGUGUUU